CAGUAGCCACGGUAAUACGAAGGGUGCAAGCGUUACUCGGAAUUACUGGGCGUAAAGCGUGCGUAGGUGGUGGUUUAAGUCCGUUGUGAAAGCCCUGGGCUCAACCUGGGAAUUGCAGUGGAUACUGGGUCACUAGAGUGUGGUAGAGGAUAGUGGAAUUUCCGGUGUAGCAGUGAAAUGCGUAGAGAUCGGGAGGAACAUCAGUGGCGAAGGCGGCCAUCUGGGACAACACUGACGCUGAGGCACGAAAGCGUGGGGAGCAAACAGGAUUAGAUACCCGUGUAGUCCCUGUCUCUUAUAC
RNAcentral lists this ribosomal RNA (301 nucleotides) under uncultured bacterium. Its description in RNAcentral is "partial 16S ribosomal RNA". It matches the Rfam family "Bacterial small subunit ribosomal RNA", at positions 509 to 807 of the family's 1533-position model. The record is from RNAcentral.